GUGAGGAAUUUUCCGCAAUGGGCGAAAGCCUGACGGAGCAAUGCCGCGUGAAGGAUGAAGGCCUAUGGGUUGUAAACUUCUUUUCUCAGAAAAGAAUUAUGACGGUAUCUGAGGAAUAAGCAUCGGCUAACUCUGUGCCAGCAGCCGCGGUAAGACAGAGGAUGCAAGCGUUAUCCGGAAUGAUUGGGCGUAAAGCGUCUGUAGGUUGUUUAAAAAGUAUUCUGUCAAAGAUUAGGGCUUAACCCUAGAUAGGCAGAAUAAACUUUUAAGCUAGAGUUUGGUAGAGGCAGAAGGAAUUCACGGUGGAGCGGUGAAAUGCGUAGAUAUCGUGAGGAACACCAAAGGCGAAGGCACUCUGCUGGGCCAAUACUAACACUGAGAGACGAAAGCGAGGGGAGCAAAUGGGAUUAGAAACCCUAGUAGUCC
This 426-nucleotide ribosomal RNA is filed under the name uncultured bacterium. RNAcentral describes it as "bacterial SSU rRNA". It matches the Rfam family "Bacterial small subunit ribosomal RNA", at positions 354 to 796 of the family's 1533-position model. The record is from RNAcentral.